Long non-coding RNA from Dreissena polymorpha, 258 nucleotides. RefSeq lists it as uncharacterized. NCBI's taxonomy places the organism in Eukaryota, Metazoa, Mollusca, Bivalvia, Myida, Dreissenidae. The record is from RefSeq and is a predicted model, not a curated record. The transcript has 3 exons.
UGGUGUUAUAGUCAUAUAUAAUAAAAAUACUUUUUCGCAGUGUCGGACUGUAGCGAAGGCGAGAAAACACCGAAAGGAACAAAGGCAAACGGGAGGUGGGGGUGCAGUUCCGGGACUGACUGCUGUUCAAGAAAAGGUACUCUCUUGUGUCCCGGACAUUAUCCUUAAUGGACUAGAGGGGAAUGACACUGGUCCAAUUGAAACUUCUGAAAAUGAAAGAAACAGUGCAACCGUGUCAUCACCAGUGCAAGAUGAAGG